ACAGGGCAUCUGUCUCUCCUCUGUGUCAAUGACAGCCUGAAUGAAGACAUGCGAUGUCCUGACACUGGUGUCCACCUCUCUGGACAGGAGGUUCUCAGAAAAGCUAAAGCCAGACCUACAAACGAGUGCAGUCUGAAUGUACCCCAUGGAGGCCGAACGAAUAUCCCACAAUUCACCUCUUCAGCCCAACAACAUCAUGUGUCUUCACUGAAUUCAUUCCUCAAAUCUGCGUGUUUUGGUAUUCAAACUCUAAACCUGUUCACUUUAGAUGAUAAACACAAGAUUUGUAUGCUUUGUUCAGGUUUCUUCUUGAAUAGGCUGUAAUUUAUUGGCAGUUUGCAUCUUUUUAACUAAUCUUCGCACUGUAUUUGAGAGCAGGAUCAGGUACGUGUGUGUGUACUGUAUGUUUUGAAAAUGCAAUUCUUACACAGUUGGCACCUUGAUAUUGUUAUAACCCUGAUCUAGGGCAUCAAGGAAGUAACAUAAAAGAUACAGCAUAACAAUUAAAAGAUGUUUUUAGGA
This is a long non-coding RNA of Danio aesculapii, 522 nucleotides long. RefSeq lists it as uncharacterized. The transcript is spliced from 2 exons. Lineage: Eukaryota; Metazoa; Chordata; Actinopteri; Cypriniformes; Danionidae. The record is from RefSeq and is a predicted model, not a curated record.